This is a non-coding RNA of Phrynosoma platyrhinos (Desert horned lizard), 72 nucleotides long. The record is from the annotation of a GenBank genome assembly. Lineage: Eukaryota; Metazoa; Chordata; Lepidosauria; Squamata; Phrynosomatidae.
GGCAGCAUGGCAUAGUGGGUUGAGUGUUGGACUACAACUCUGGAAUCCAGGGUUUGAUUCUCUGGUUGGCCA